Molecule: ribosomal RNA, 355 nt
Filed under: Vityazicrinus sp. GWR-2010
Lineage: Eukaryota; Metazoa; Echinodermata; Crinoidea; Bourgueticrinida; Vityazicrinidae
Description: partial 16S ribosomal RNA
Rfam family: Bacterial large subunit ribosomal RNA
Source: RNAcentral
UUAAGAAAAUUUUUAUAAAAACUAGAAUAAACAGCUAAUUAAAAACCUUACUUAAAUAAACCUAAUAAAAAAUAUCUUUGGUUGGGGCAACCUCGAAGAAAAAACAACCUUCGAUAAUAAAAAUAAAUAAACAAAUUUAAAACUAAGCUUAUAGUCAUCUAUGAUCCGGAAAUGCCGAUCAAAGAAAUAAGUUACCGCAGGGAUAACAGCGUUAUUCUCUUUAAGAGUUCAUAUUGACAAGAGAGUUUGCGACCUCGAUGUUGGACCGGGGCACCCCAGGGGUGCAGCAGCCCCUAAAGGUAGGUCUGUUCGACCUUUAAAGCCCUACGCGAUCUGAGUUCAGACCGACGCAAGU